This 396-nucleotide ribosomal RNA is filed under the name uncultured bacterium. RNAcentral describes it as "bacterial SSU rRNA". It matches the Rfam family "Bacterial small subunit ribosomal RNA", at positions 29 to 410 of the family's 1533-position model. The record is from RNAcentral.
AAUCAACGCUGGCGGCGUGCCUAACACAUGCAAGUCGAACGCGAAAGUGGAGCAAUCCAUGAGUAGAGUGGCAAACGGGUGAGUAACACGUGGGUGACCUGCCUUCGAGUGGGGGAUAACGUCCCGAAAGGGACGCUAAUACCGCAUGACAUCCUGCCUUUGGAAAGGCGGAGAUCAAAGCUGGGGAUCGCAAGACCUGGCGCUUGAAGAGGGGCCCGCGCCUGAUUAGCUAGUUGAUGAGGUAACGGCUCACCAAGGCCACGAUCAGUAUCCGGCCUGAGAGGGCGGGACGGACACACUGGGACUGAGACACGGCCCAGACUCCUACGGGAGGCAGCAGUGGGGAAUUGUUCGCAAUGGGCGCAAGCCUGACGACGCAACGCCGCGUGGAGGACG